This 253-nucleotide ribosomal RNA is filed under the name uncultured bacterium. RNAcentral describes it as "partial 16S ribosomal RNA". It matches the Rfam family "Bacterial small subunit ribosomal RNA", at positions 524 to 776 of the family's 1533-position model. The record is from RNAcentral.
UACGAACCGUCCAAACGUUAUUCGGAAUUAUUGGGCUUAAAGGGUAUGUAGGCGGCGCUGUUAGUCGGGUGUGAAAUCCCUCGGCUCAACCGAGGAAUUGCGCCCGAUACUGCAGUGCUUGAGGGAGACAGAGGUAAGCGGAACUGAUGGUGGAGCGGUGAAAUGCGUUGAUAUCAUCAGGAACACCGGUGGCGAAAGCGGCUUACUGGGUCUCUUCUGACGCUGAGAUACGAAAGCUAGGGGAGCGAAGGGG